GGGUCCGAGUUGUAAUUUGUAGAGGGCGUUUCGGGAGCGGCGCCGGUCUAAGUCCCUUGGAACAGGGCGUCAUAGAGGGUGAGAAUCCCGUCUGCGACCGGCGGCCAACCCCAUGUGAAACCCCUUCGACGAGUCGAGUUGUUUGGGAAUGCAGCUCAAAAUGGGUGGUAAAUUUCAUCUAAAGCUAAAUACCGGCCAGAGACCGAUAGCGCACAAGUAGAGUGAUCGAAAGAUGAAAAGCACUUUGGAAAGAGAGUCAAACAGUACGUGAAAUUGUUGAAAGGGAAGCGCUAGCAACCAGACCUGUCCGCGGGCAUCAGCCUCCGUUCUUCGGGGGUGCACUUGUCCGCGAUCAGGCCAGCAUCGGUUCGGGCGGUCGGAUAAAGGCCCUGGGAAUGUAGCUCCCCUCGGGGAGUCUUAUAGCCCUCGGCGCAAUGCGGCCAGCCCGGACCGAGGACCGCGCUCGGC
RNAcentral lists this ribosomal RNA (468 nucleotides) under Lecidella enteroleucella. RNAcentral describes it as "eukaryotic LSU rRNA". It matches the Rfam family "Eukaryotic large subunit ribosomal RNA", at positions 134 to 605 of the family's 3401-position model. Lineage: Eukaryota; Fungi; Ascomycota; Lecanoromycetes; Lecanorales; Lecanoraceae. The record is from RNAcentral.